GCUUAGGUUGGUUGCAACAAACGACUCCUAACCCAGUCAGAUCCGGAAGGAAGCAGCUGUAUGGAGCCCUCUUUGGGUGCUUUUCAACCUAAGCUCU
RNAcentral lists this signal recognition particle RNA (97 nucleotides) under Deltaproteobacteria bacterium. RNAcentral's name for it is "signal recognition particle sRNA small type". It matches the Rfam family "Bacterial small signal recognition particle RNA". Rfam says of the family: The signal recognition particle (SRP) is a universally conserved ribonucleoprotein involved in the co-translational targeting of proteins to membranes. Lineage: Bacteria; Pseudomonadati; Myxococcota; Myxococcia. RNAcentral also lists the same sequence under 1 other name. The record is from RNAcentral.